GAUGAACGCUGGCGGCGUGCCUAAUACAUGCAAGUCGAGCGAACAGACGAGGAGCUUGCUCCUCUGACGUUAGCGGCGGACGGGUGAGUAACACGUGGAUAACCUACCUAUAAGACUGGGAUAACUUCGGGAAACCGGAGCUAAUACCGGAUAAUAUAUUGAACCGCAUGGUUCAAUAGUGAAAGACGGUUUUGCUGUCACUUAUAGAUGGAUCCCCGCCGCAUUAGCUAGUUGUUAAGGUAACGGCUUACCAAGGCAACGAGGCGUAGCCGACCGGAGAGGGUGGUCGGCCACACUGGAACGGAGACGCGGUCCAGACGCCUACGAGAGGCAGCAGUAGGGAAUCUUCCGCAAUGGGCGAAAGCUUGACGGAACAACGCCGCGUGAGUGAUGAAGGUCUUCGGAUCGUAAAACUCUGUUAUUAGGGAAGAACAAAUGUGUAAGUAACUAUGCACGUCUUGACGGUACCUAAUCAGAAAGCCACGGCUAACUACGUG
This 497-nucleotide ribosomal RNA is filed under the name uncultured bacterium. Its description in RNAcentral is "partial 16S ribosomal RNA". It matches the Rfam family "Bacterial small subunit ribosomal RNA", at positions 28 to 507 of the family's 1533-position model. The record is from RNAcentral.